RNAcentral lists this ribosomal RNA (440 nucleotides) under uncultured bacterium. Its description in RNAcentral is "partial 16S ribosomal RNA". It matches the Rfam family "Bacterial small subunit ribosomal RNA", at positions 338 to 795 of the family's 1533-position model. The record is from RNAcentral.
CCUACGGGUGGCAGCAGUGAGGGAUAUUGGUCAAUGGGGGAAACCCUGAUCCAGCAAUGCCGCGUGAGGGCAGACGGUUUUCGGAUUGUAAACCUCUGUCCUCUGUGAAGCUAAUGACGGUAGCAGAGGAGGAAGCUCCGGCUAACUACGUGCCAGCAGCCGCGGUACUACGUAGGGCGCAAGCGUUGUCCGGAAUUACUGGGUGUAAAGGGUUCGUUGGCGGGCUUGCAAGUCAGAAGGGAAAUCUAUGGGCUUAACCCAUAAACUGCUUUUGAAACUGUAAGGCUUGAGUGAAGUAGAGGGAGGCGGAAUGCCCGGUGGAGCGGUGAAAUGCGUAGAGAUCGGGAGGAACACCAGUGGCGAAGGCGGCCUACUGGGCUUUAACUGACGCUGAGGCACGAAAGCGUGGGUAGCAAACAGGAUUAGAUACCCGUGUAGUC